CGAAGUUCGUUAUUUAUAGAAGAUUGUUACUCAACAUUAAGGUGCCGCUGAACCACAACUUCCUAGCAGAAUUGUGUCAGAAGUGAUCAGCUUGAAGGGGAAACGAGAAAUGUUGCGAACGAACGAACGCAAAUCAGAACUUCAUGGACACGCUGAUUCAUCGUAGCACCUCGAAGGUGUUCCAUCUUCAAAUGCAAAUCAGAUGAAGGAUUAAUUAGCUGACAAAAUAAUCUAAUGAUCACAAAGGCAUUAAGAUCAUAAUCUCACCUUGGCUACUAGGGUAAUAACACGCGCAUGUUCCCGGAGAUGGUCAAUGAUGAGACGGUCGACACGUGAUGGAUUCCCUUGCAAACGAGCUGUUUGAACUGUUCAGAGUUUUGAUCCAAUCUCAGAUGCAAAAUGCUGGAAGGACCAGAGCGCCUGGAUGUGGUAUUUCUCAGUCCACCGAACAAAUCGGACAUGGGAUGUAGCGGUGGUGCUGACACAGCGAUUUUUGAAAACGAAGAACCGGCCAUCAAAUGCGUCCAAAACACUACGAUUAACUUACAAUCAGUGACCCAGCACUGUGACCCACAAAUGAGGUUCGCCGAGGAAAUUAAUGCACAUUUCUCCGAAGAUUCAGCUCAAUCUUUUACGGUCCAUCAACCCACUUUAAUGGAAUCAGUCAGUUAUUUUACCACAGCGGUCGUCUGCCGAAUCAUUGAAAUUGUACAACGUAUGAACUAAAAACUUCAGUCAGCUUCGUGUUUAUCCGCGCAUAAGCAUUUUCGGGUGUAUUCGAGCAGAUACGUGUGUGAACAAACCUUGGAAAACGCCUCCGGGCGCUCAGCUCAUCCAUCCGCUACCACCACUACGGUACUACCGAAGAAAAACGGCGCAUCACGCACAUACGACUGCAUGCAACCUGCGCCUGUCAAACAGAGCAGAAAGCUCUAAAUCUUCCUUGCAAUCAGCAACCGAGACGCUAGAUGUCGCGACCUAUUGGAACCCUUUUGAAACUGUCGAAACCCCGUAGAAAAUUAGCUUUUUCAUCCCGCCAAAACAAUUUGCACAAUUUCAUGCCUGGUACUCCUUGUGGUUGAAAUUGAAAAUACCGUUAACAAUUGAAAGACAAAUAAGUAGUUGUGGAUGAAAUACAUCUUUGGAUGAAACUCUAGUGUAUGGAUAUAUGGAUGAAUUGGGGAAACAAUUUAUCGAGUGUUUGGUAUUCACAUGGCACCAACUAGAGAAGAAUAACUUCUCUACUUGAGUUGGACUAAUAUCUGGAAUUUCAGAAAUAUUCAACCGAAAAUUACCUCUUUAUUUGUGUUCACCAUGUUUUGGCAGAUGACAAAUAUUUGCCAAUGAUUAAAAAUGGAGUAAGAUGCAACGCUUUCAGGAGUACGCCAUCACAGAAAAACACCCGCAUUGCAACGACUGAUCAUUCCUUAAUGCCUGACGAACCUUUCAAUUUGUCAUUGCAAAUAGAUCAAAAAAUCAAACACUAACAAUUUUACGCGAAGAUAAUAACAGAUUGCUGUAAAUCGGAGCAAACAAUAACGAGAAUUCUCCUAACAAUUAUCGAAGCGUCCUUCAACCUGUUGCAUUUUUGAAAAAUUUUCUGCCGAUGCUUUUCGAUAAAAUAACAAUUUGCCUACUUACCAUAUUAUUUUCGCACCAUCCACGCGUCGUUUUUAAUCAUAAGUUGUGUCUGGCACUUUGCAAAAUAUAAUUCUUCACUUUAGUCAACGGCUAUAACUUUCUUAAUGUAAAAGUCUACACCAGCUGCCUGAAUGCUCACAAUCAGCCAAAUAAUCAAAUACUAUAUUACGUAUCUGCACAAAAAGAGAGAAUAGGUGGAACUGAUAGAACAGAUGCUUCUCGAUCAACGAUCAUGGCAAAUAUUAAUUUAAUUCUUGAGUGACGUGAAAUUAGCACCCUCUCUUGAGCCAUUGAAAAACCAUAAGUAUAUUAUGGGCACAUCUUUGAUUAUGGGUCAAUUUGAGGGACACUUUCACGCAACCAAUAAAGAAUUAGUAAUUCAUUGGGAGGGAAGAUCGAAAAUUGUUACCUGCGAUGUGUUUAAAAAAUAAUUUUUUACCAAUAUACACAUUACAACUUACAUACAUAUAUACUGAUAAUGUGAUUAUUUUAAAUAAUCUCUUUUUUUGUGAAAUUUCAAAAAUGAUAUAUAUUUCAGAAUAUUCACAUUUAUAACUUGGGUAUUUUUCGAUAGUUUGAUGUCUUCCACAAUAUAUAUCGGAUACUUUACUGUUAAAUAAUAUAAUUAAAAUAUGCAUCUAUACUGUGAGUAUAAAUAUUUACAACCGGUAGGAAAAUGAAAUAAUACAGUGAUAGGUAAAUUAGGCUUGAUGUCGUGGAAUGUAUUCGAAAAAAGAAAACCAAUUUUCAUCCGGCGACAUCACAUGCCAGGGUUUCUGAAUUAAAUACUUAAAGAAGUUAACCACAAAUAAA
Athalia rosae (coleseed sawfly) is the source of this 2454-nucleotide long non-coding RNA. RefSeq lists it as uncharacterized. The record is from RefSeq and is a predicted model, not a curated record. The transcript is spliced from 5 exons. NCBI's taxonomy places the organism in Eukaryota, Metazoa, Arthropoda, Insecta, Hymenoptera, Athaliidae.